This 274-nucleotide long non-coding RNA is filed under the name Manihot esculenta (cassava). RNAcentral's name for it is "long non-coding RNA (MESC_LNC001900)". The record is from RNAcentral. Lineage: Eukaryota; Viridiplantae; Streptophyta; Magnoliopsida; Malpighiales; Euphorbiaceae.
AACAUAUUUCCAACAUACAUUGUUCAAAACACAACAUAAACCCAUAAACCUAACAACAAGCCUAAACAUGCAUUCUACCCCAUCAACUUGUAUAAAACUUUCAUAAAACAUAAAAGAAGCAUAGAUCGAAGCUUACCUCUUGAAGAUCGAGAGGAAGAAUGACCCUAGCUCGGAAAAUGGAGGGAUUUAGCUCCAAGACUUCCAAGCUCCAAACUUGCUUAAAAACACUCAAAAACCUUUGUGGAACCUUAAAACUCAAAGAAAAUGGUGGGGG